AGAUUGAACGCUGGCGGCGUGCCUAACUCAUGCAAGUCGAGCGGUAACAGGUGUAGCAAUACAUGCUGACGAGCGGCGAACGGGUGAGUAAUGCUUCGGAAUCUGCCCAUGUAGUGGGAAUAACUAGCCGAAAGGUUAGCUAAUACCGCAUACGACCGUACGGGUGAAAGCGAGGGAUCGCAA
This 183-nucleotide ribosomal RNA is filed under the name uncultured soil bacterium. RNAcentral describes it as "partial 16S ribosomal RNA". It matches the Rfam family "Bacterial small subunit ribosomal RNA", at positions 26 to 218 of the family's 1533-position model. The record is from RNAcentral.